GUUAUCGAGUACACAGCAGGAAGUUUUGAGAGAGAGAAAAUGGACCAUCCUUUCAAAACGUGCUGCUAUUGAAUACAGAUCGCCCCGUGAUCAAUUUGAUCGAUUAUUAACGUUUACUAAUACCUAAAGUUGGAUUACAAAAGUAGUUUGAAGUGUUUUGUCAAAGUUUAUAGGCAACUUUUUUUAUUUAAAAAAAUGACGUUGCGUUUUGGAACGGUGCUUUUUCAUGGAUCAGACAGGCUUCAUAAAUGGACAUUUUGGGUAUACAUGGACGGAUUUAAUCGAAAAAAAGACCCAAUUGUGAUGUUUAUGGGACAUAUAGGAGUGCCAACAAAGAAGCUCGUCAAAGAGCAUACAACCAUUCCGACAACCAUCCAUGAAGAUCAGUGGACAAAGGGCUGGACAAUGGGCCACACCGAAAAAACUCAUGGUUGCCAAGAAAUGGCUUCCUGAAAUCCCUCAAGCAGCUGAUUGGUCGACUCCAGGGCUAAUUGGAGAGCUGACCCCGCCCCCUCGUCAAGACACAGCUGUCUCCAAUUACCCAAUCCUUCAGAAGCUAUAUAAAAGCCAGUGUUCUGUUCAGGAGAUCUCUUUUUGUAGAGGAUUUUGCUGGAGGUAGAUUUGCUAGAGAGAUUUGCUGGGAGGUCAUUGUAGAGAUUUUGCUAGAGAGAUUUUGCUAGAGAGAUUUUGCUGGAGGUUGAUUUUGCUGGGAGUUCAUUGCUGAGAGUUGGUAUGUUUUGUGAGUUUGUUGCUCAGAACUUAUUUGAUGUCCUUUGUCUCUUAGUUUGUUUGUGAAAUUGUUUAAUAUUCUGUUUCAUUUGUUCCCUGGGGGGAGGAAGGGGAAGGCACCUAGGGAGUGCUUAGGCAAGAGGCCCGCGGGCAUACAUAUACCCGUAGCAUAUUCGCUGUCUAGGCACACUAGGUAAGACCUGGGCGG
Molecule: long non-coding RNA, 937 nt
Organism: Oncorhynchus tshawytscha (Chinook salmon)
Lineage: Eukaryota; Metazoa; Chordata; Actinopteri; Salmoniformes; Salmonidae
Source: Ensembl